RNAcentral lists this ribosomal RNA (465 nucleotides) under uncultured bacterium. RNAcentral's name for it is "bacterial SSU rRNA". It matches the Rfam family "Bacterial small subunit ribosomal RNA", at positions 340 to 786 of the family's 1533-position model. The record is from RNAcentral.
UACGGGAGGCAGCAGUGGGGAAUAUUGCACAAUGGGCGCAAGCCUGAUGCAGCCAUGCCGCGUGUAUGAAGAAGGCCUUCGGGUUGUAAAGUACUUUCAGUCGUGAGGAAGGUGUUAAGGUUAAUAACCUUAGCAAUUGACGUUAGCGACAGAAGAAGCACCGGCUAACUCCGUGCCAGCAGCCGCGGUAAUACGGAGGGUGCGAGCGUUAAUCGGAAUUACUGGGCGUAAAGGGCACGCAGGCGGUUAAUUAAGUUGGAUGUGAAAUCCCCGGGCUUAACCUGGGAAUGGCAUUCAAGACUGGUUAGCUAGAGUCUUGUAGAGGGGGUAGAAUUCCAUGUGUAGCGGUGAAAUGCGUAGAGAUGUGGAGGAAUACCGGGUGGGCGAAGGCGGGCCCCCUGGGACCAAAAGGACUGACGGCUCAUGUGCGAAAAGCGUGGGGAGCGAAAACAGGGAUUAGAUACC